This 73-nucleotide transfer RNA is filed under the name Stegodyphus mimosarum. It matches the Rfam family "tRNA". From Rfam's summary of the family: Transfer RNA (tRNA) molecules are approximately 80 nucleotides in length. Their secondary structure includes four short double-helical elements and three loops (D, anti-codon, and T loops). Lineage: Eukaryota; Metazoa; Arthropoda; Arachnida; Araneae; Eresidae. The record is from Rfam by way of RNAcentral.
GCCUUCGUGGUGUAGUGGUCAGCAUGCUCGACGCGUAACCGAGAGGUCCGUGGUUCGAUUCCCGGGGAAGGCG